UAGGGAAUCUUCGGCAAUGGACGACAGUCUGACCGAGCAACGCCGCGUGAGUGAAGAAGGUUUUCGGAUCGUAAAACUCUGUUGUUAGAGAAGAACAAGGACGUUAGUAACUGAACGUCCCCUGACGGUAUCUAACCAGAAAGCCACGGCUAACUACGUGCCAGCAGCCGCGGUAAUACGUAGGUGGCAAGCGUUGUCCGGAUUUAUUGGGCGUAAAGCGAGCGCAGGCGGUUUCUUAAGUCUGAUGUGAAAGCCCCCGGCUCAACCGGGGAGGGUCAUUGGAAACUGGGAGACUUGAGUGCAGAAGAGGAGAGUGGAAUUCCAUGUGUAGCGGUGAAAUGCGUAGUUAUAUGGAGGAACACCAGUGGCGAAGGCGGCUCUCUGGUCUGUAACUGACGCUGAGGCUCGAAAGCGUGGGGAGCAAACAGG
This 429-nucleotide ribosomal RNA is filed under the name Gemmatimonadota bacterium. RNAcentral's name for it is "Gemmatimonadetes bacterium partial 16S ribosomal RNA". It matches the Rfam family "Bacterial small subunit ribosomal RNA", at positions 355 to 776 of the family's 1533-position model. Lineage: Bacteria; Pseudomonadati; Gemmatimonadota. The record is from RNAcentral.